AAGUCGUAACAAGGUUUCCGUAGGUGAACCUGCGGAAGGAUCAUUAUGAAUCAGUAGCUUGCUACUGUGUUGGGGAGAAUGGGAAAGUCCUGGCUGAAAAGCUAAUGUACCGGUACCUGCACCCCUAUCAUACCCUUGUCUUUUGAGUACUUAUGUUUCCUUGGUAGGCUUGCCUACCAAAAGGACAAACUUGAAACCUUUUUAAGUAUCAAUCAGCGUCUGAAAAUAAAUUAAUAUUUACAACUUUCAACAACGGAUCUCUUGGUUCUG
Molecule: unclassified non-coding RNA, 270 nt
Filed under: Leptospora rubella
Lineage: Eukaryota; Fungi; Ascomycota; Dothideomycetes
Description: partial internal transcribed spacer region
Rfam family: Eukaryotic small subunit ribosomal RNA (bases 1-46)
Source: RNAcentral